Molecule: non-coding RNA, 1859 nt
Organism: Ictidomys tridecemlineatus (thirteen-lined ground squirrel)
Lineage: Eukaryota; Metazoa; Chordata; Mammalia; Rodentia; Sciuridae
Source: RefSeq, a predicted model, not a curated record
UAUUGUGAUGCAAACACCAAGGGAGUGGGAAGCAGCCUGAGAGCCAAGGAGACAGCACCUAGGAGAGCUCACUCACAGUCCAGAGAGGAGGCAGGGAGCCUGGAAUGAAAAGACCUCUGAAGAGUAUCUAGUAAAUCCGCAUCAGGUUCCUGCAGAGAGUCACGGACGACUUCUUUCUGGGUCUGGAGCUGGAGCGGUGAUGUCCAGGACAGAAGCUGCGAGGUAAGGGGCACAGAAGCCUGUUGUGGGAGGGUCUGAUGCUUUGCAUUUUCCUCUUAGGGUCGAAGGCUACGUGUCAGCCUACGGCAGGUAAAGGGGAGACCUGCUUAUGGUCACACCCCCCCGUAGAGGGUUGGAAGGUGUUUGGGGAGGGCUAGGCAGGGCUCUUGUCUCCAGAGGCUGAGUAGGAGGACCCUGGCCUCCUGACCUGUCCCCCCAGCAGGCUGAGUGCACUUCAUCCCCUGCUUCCUGGUUCAUUCUGUGGCUCAGAGGCCAGGUAAGUGGUUCUGGGAGAGGAAGUCCCAGGAGUGAUAAGGAGGAUGUUGCUGGGAGGUCUUUCUCUCCCAGAAGAAUUACAACCCAGGCUGCUUACGAGGAACUGGACAUCUUACCCUCCCGGAAAACCAGGAGGUAAGGAGCUUCCUGCCCUGGGGAAGGGAAAGAGGAAGUCCUAUUUUCCCAGAUGUCCUCAGGUCAGUUGAGAAGAAGGAGGGCAGUGGUGUGGGUCUGUCCAGGUGUUUGGAGAAAGUGAUGGCCACUCUCAGGCUGAAAGCACCUCCUCGCACACAGGUAGGUCUUUGAUGUCAACAUGUGAGCAGGUGUGAACACAUGCCCAGGAUGCACAGUUGGCGAGAACUGACCACUGUGGCCAUUGUAUGUGUUCCUUUCCCUCUACCUGUUAUGGGAAGGAAUGUAGGGAGGUGAGGCCGCUCAGACCUGGAGGACAUGGUAAGGGCUAUUUCAACUGUUCAUUUUUGCAUUGAUUCUGUGUGUGGUUCUUUAUGUGAGCUGGGAAGAGCCUGAGACAGAAGAUGCCAGAGGAGGACCUUGGAGCAUCUGGGGGAUGGCAGGCCUUGCUGUCUUUGCCACUGAAAGUGCACCGUCCCUCCCUGGGUUUGGAAUGGACGAGAGCCUGCUGUCCUCACCUGGAGGAGUCUUCUUACUGCAUAGCAGGUUGGAGCUCUUUAUGCAUUUUCCGGGCAAUUUCAGCAGCUCUCCACCUCUUCAACCCAGCCUCAUGGAAGUUUGGUUGUGGUCUGGGGACAGGAGAUGGCUUUUCUCCGUCUCUUCACACACCUGGCCAUGCCCCACACGAGCUUACUGCCCAUCCACCUGUGGCCAGGUUUGGUGAGCUCCCUGCCUUCUCCAGGUUGAGCCGACCUGCUUGGGCUGUGCAGCUGCUAUCUGGCAGCCCAGGGACUCUGACCAAGCCCCUGCCCCUAGGGUCUGCGUUCUGAGAAACAGCUCUGCUUCCUCUCUGUAGGAGACUUGGCACAGGAGAGGGAGAUGCAGAGGCUGGACCUAUCAGGCCAGGGAGCUAGCUUCUGGAGACUUCAAUCAGAAGGGGUCCACUGGAAACAUGGCUCCUCUCAGCCUCUUUGCUGAUUCCGGGUGGAAGGCACAGGACUGGGGAUGGAACCCAGCGAUGCUUUACCUCUGAUCUGCAUUCCUCGUCCUUUUCAUUUUUUAUCGAGAAAGGGUCUUGCUGAGUUGCGAAGGCUGGUCUGGAACUUGCAAUCUGCCUUCUUCAGCCUCCCGAGAAGCUGACAUUACAGGCUUGUGUCACCAAGCCCAUCGGGAAGUUGGCUCUGAAAGCCAUAAAGGGGCUGUUGACCCUCACGGAGUUGGGAUGCAGGUGA